CGUGAGAAGCAACCACCCAAUUCUCUUCGGUUUGUUCUGCUUUAUCAGCAACAUUUACUCCCUUUAGCUUCACCUUACAAUUCUUUUUGAUGUGUCCAGGCAAGUUACACCGAUAGCAUCGAAUAGUGCUUCUUUUCCCGUUGGCACUCUUUGGUGGCUCUCCCCCUUCAUCUUUUCUUCUCUCUCUUUCAUUCUUCUUCUCUGGUCUAUAGAUUUUCUUCUUUCCAGAGAAUAAGGCGUCACCUUGAAAGGAUAAGGAGACUUCGGCCAUUUGUUUUGCUAGAGACUCUUGAGAAGAGAGAAGAUUCUCAAACUCAACCUAGUGAGGGUUGAUUAGCCCACCCCUGAAUAGAAGUGACAAAAGGAAUAUAUUCUUUGUUUAAUCC
This 386-nucleotide long non-coding RNA is filed under the name Nicotiana benthamiana. RNAcentral's name for it is "long non-coding RNA (NBEN_LNC020642)". The record is from RNAcentral. Lineage: Eukaryota; Viridiplantae; Streptophyta; Magnoliopsida; Solanales; Solanaceae.